RNAcentral lists this ribosomal RNA (404 nucleotides) under uncultured bacterium. RNAcentral describes it as "bacterial SSU rRNA". It matches the Rfam family "Bacterial small subunit ribosomal RNA", at positions 355 to 776 of the family's 1533-position model. The record is from RNAcentral.
UGGGGAAUCUUGGACAAUGGGCGCAAGCCUGAUCCAGCCAUGCCGCGUGAGUGACGAAGGCCUUAGGGUUGUAAAGCUCUUUUAGCAGGGAAGAUAAUGACGGUACCUGCAGAAUAAGCCCCGGCUAACUUCGUGCCAGCAGCCGCGGUGAUACGAAGGGGGCUAGCGUUGUUCGGAAUUACUGGGCGUAAAGCGCACGUAGGCGGAUCAUUUAGUCAGGGGUGAAAUCCCGGGGCUCAACCUCGGAACUGCCUUUGAUACUGAUGAUCUCGAGUCCGGAAGAGGUGAGUGGAAUUCCUAGUGUAGAGGUGAAAUUCGUAGAUAUUAGGAAGAACACCAGUGGCGAAGGCGGCUCACUGGUCCGGCACUGACGCUGAGGUGCGAAAGCGUGGGGAGCAAACAGG